Molecule: ribosomal RNA, 498 nt
Filed under: uncultured bacterium
Lineage: Bacteria
Description: partial 16S ribosomal RNA
Rfam family: Bacterial small subunit ribosomal RNA
Source: RNAcentral
AUUGAACGCUGGCGGAAUGCUUUACACAUGCAAGUCGAGCGGCAGCGCGGGGCAACCUGGCGGCGAGCGGCGAACGGGUGAGUAAUACAUCGGAACGUGCCCAGACGUGGGGGAUAACUACUCGAAAGAGUAGCUAAUACCGCAUAUGAUCUAAGGAUGAAAGCGGGGGAUCGCAAGACCGCGCGCGUUUGGAGCGGCCGAUGGCAGAUUAGGUAGUUGGUGGGGUAAAGGCUUACCAAGCCUGCGAUCUGUAGCUGGUCUGAGAGGACGACCAGCCACACUGGGACUGAGACACGGCCCAGACUCCUACGGGAGGCAGCAGUGGGGAAUUUUGGACAAUGGGCGAAAGCCUGAUCCAGCCAUUCCGCGUGCAGGAUGAAGGCCCUCGGGUUGUAAACUGCUUUUGUACAGAACGAAAAAGCUCUGGUUAAUACCUGGAGUCCAUGACGGUACUGUAAGAAUAAGCACCGGCUAACUACGUGCCAGCCGCCGCCGUAA